Molecule: transfer RNA, 87 nt
Filed under: Deltaproteobacteria bacterium
Lineage: Bacteria; Pseudomonadati; Myxococcota; Myxococcia
Description: tRNA-Leu
Rfam family: tRNA
About the family: Transfer RNA (tRNA) molecules are approximately 80 nucleotides in length. Their secondary structure includes four short double-helical elements and three loops (D, anti-codon, and T loops).
Source: RNAcentral
GCGGAAGUGGCGGAAUUGGUAGACGCGCUAGAUUCAGGUUCUAGUGGCCGAAAGGCUGUGGGGGUUCAAGUCCCCCUUUCCGCACCA